GAGUUUGAUCAUGGCUCAGGACGAACGCNGGCGGCGUGUUUAACCUAUGCAAGUCGAACGGAGUUGACUUGUUUGAACCCUUCGGGGUGAUGACAGAUUAACUUAGUGGCGAACGGGUGAGUAACGCGUGAGUAACCAACCUUGUACAGGGGGACAACAUCUGGAAACGGAUGCUAAUACCGCAUGAGACCACAGUGCCGCAUGGCAUAGGGGUCAAAGAUUUAUCGGUACAAGACGGACACGCGUUCUAUUAGGUAGUUGGUAAGGUAACGGCUUACCAAGCCUACGAUAGAUAGCCGAGCUGAGAGGCUGAUCGGCCACACUGGGACUGAGAUACGGCCCAGACUCCUACGGGAGGCAGCAGGGAAGAAUAUUGGGCAAUGGGGGAAACCCUGACCCAGCAACGCCGCGUGAAGGAAGAAGGCCCUCGGGUUGUAAACUUCUGUGACAGAGGACGAAGAAAGUGACGGUACUCUGAGAGGAAGCUCCGGCAAACUACGUGCCAGCAGCCGCGGUAAUACGUAGGGAGCGAGCGUUGUCCGGAAUUACUGGGCGUAAAGGGUGCGUAGGCGGCAAUGUAAGUCAUUUGUGAAAUCCCCGGGCUUAACCCGGGAGGUGCAGGUGAAACUAUAUAGCUUGAGUAUGGUAGAGGAGAAUGGAAUUCCUAGUGUAGCGGUAAAAUGCGUAGAUAUUAGGAGGAACACCGGUGGCGAAGGCGGUUCUCUGGGCCAAAACUGACGCUGAGGCACGAAAGCGUGGGGAGCAAACAGGAUUAGAUACCCUGGUAGUCCACGCCGUAAACGAUGAUUACUAGGUGUAGGGGGUAUCGACCCCCUCUGUGCCGCAGCUAACGCAAUAAGUAAUCCGCCUGGGGAGUACGACCGCAAGGUUGAAACUCAAAUGAAUUGACGG
RNAcentral lists this ribosomal RNA (912 nucleotides) under uncultured bacterium. Its description in RNAcentral is "bacterial SSU rRNA". It matches the Rfam family "Bacterial small subunit ribosomal RNA", at positions 9 to 916 of the family's 1533-position model. The record is from RNAcentral.